This 496-nucleotide ribosomal RNA is filed under the name uncultured bacterium. Its description in RNAcentral is "partial 16S ribosomal RNA". It matches the Rfam family "Bacterial small subunit ribosomal RNA", at positions 28 to 506 of the family's 1533-position model. The record is from RNAcentral.
GAUGAACGCUGGCGGCGUGCCUAAUACAUGCAAGUCGAGCGAACAGAUGAGGAGCUUGCUCCUCUGACGUUAGCGGCGGACGGGUGAGUAACACGUGGAUAACCUACCUAUAAGACUGGGAUAACUUCGGGAAACCGGAGCUAAUACCGGAUAAUAUAUUGAACCGCAUGGUUCAAUAGUGAAAGACGGUUUUGCUGUCACUUAUAGAUGGAUCCGCGCCGCAUUAGCUAGUUGGUAAGGUAACGGCUUACCAAGGCAACGAUGCGUAGCCGACCUGAGAGGGUGAUCGGCCACACUGAAACUGAGACACGGUCCAGACUCCUACGGGAGGCAGCAGUGGGGAAUCUUCCGCAAUGGGCGAAAGCCUGACGGAGCAACGCCGCGUGAGUGAUGAAGGUCUUCGGAUCGUAAAACUCUGUUAUUGGGGAAGAACAAAUGUGUAAGUAACUAUGCACGUCUUGACGGUACCAAAUCAGAAAGCCACGGCUAACUACGU